Molecule: non-coding RNA, 1218 nt
Organism: Doryrhamphus excisus (bluestripe pipefish)
Lineage: Eukaryota; Metazoa; Chordata; Actinopteri; Syngnathiformes; Syngnathidae
Source: RefSeq, a predicted model, not a curated record
UAGCUAACCGCCAUGUAAGGUACACGUUCAUGUAAAUAAGUCCAGCCACAAACAACCGGUUCCGGUACAUUCCCGGGCCUUCACCUUGAUAGGUUUGGUUCCGUCCACCAGGACUUUGCCGUGCAUUUCCUCCAUGGCCAGACAGGCCUGAGACGAUUUGGCAAACUUCACAUAGCAAAUGCCUUUGGACUCUUUUGUCUGUUUAUCUUUCACGACCCACACUCCCUGGAUGUCCCCGAACACGCAGAAACUCUCCCUGAGCUCAUCUUCGGUGACGGCGCGGCUGGUGACCAGAAACAGGCGGCUGUUGGGAGGGUCGUCGAGGUUUUCCGUGGCUUGUUUCGGUGUGGCGUUGGACUCCUCCAUCUUGUCUCGCCAACCACCCGUGGUGUUGCGUUCAUGAGCCCUGGGAUUUCUCCCACUCUUCUUCCGCUCCUUCCAGAUGUUUUUUUUAACCUGUUUGGCCUAACAAAGGUCAAAGGAGCUUACACGUGACGACCAACCUACCUACCACCUACGCCUGCUGGCUGCGGCCUUCAUCAUUAAAGCACCACCUCCCACCAUGGCCGCCAACCCCUCCGCUGUCAAGAUGAUGAUGUGUAGGGAGCCUACCCCAGCUGACUUUGAGCGAGAGGCGGAGGACACCCCGGUCUGAUCCCGAUUGAGGCAUGCUAACCACUCAUCCACCGUGCUGCACCUCCCAAGAUGAAUCAUUACAAGCUGUGAUUUCUAUACUAAGAUCGUGUUCUGUUUGUUGGAGUGAUGCUGAAUGAGUGCAAAAUGAAUAUUCUUUAUUGAAUAAAUUGAAUUCUAUUAUUUCUAUGAUUUAUUGUGUAUUUUAUCUCCAGUACUCAUUGAUGUGUUUAUGCUAUUUGAAUACACUCGAUGAAGAAACAUCUCGUUCAAGUCCAGCUUCCUCUGGAAGACUCGUGUAGGUUGUUGUGCACAGAAUGGGAACUUGAACGUGCAUAUAACUGCACCUUAUUGCACCUAACAGUGUAUUCUAUAUUCUAUAGCCUAUAUUUGAUGUUUUUAUUUUGCACUUUACCGCUUUUUAGCUCGGUAAGUCACUUUAUGUUCAUGUAAAUGUAGACCAGAAUGUCUGAACUUGUGAUACAUAGAAAUGUGUUUGUUUGAAAGUACCAAUUACAUACUGCACAUUUUUUUCCAUGUAAUGUAAUGUAAUGUUUUCCCAUGAUGUGAUUUCAAUAAAAUAAA